AGCUUGGCGCAGUGGCAGUAUCGUAGCCAAUGAGAUUUAUCCGGGGCCCGAUUAUUGCUAAUUGAAAAAAAAACAAAUGAGACCUCAGUCAUAGGCUUGUGAGGGUAGUGGAGAAUGAGAUGCAAAGAAACUUGGGACCACUUUUUUGGUUUCUUACAAAUUUG
This 164-nucleotide small nuclear RNA is filed under the name Cervus hanglu yarkandensis (Yarkand deer). RNAcentral's name for it is "U4 spliceosomal RNA (ENSCHYG00000026857.1)". It matches the Rfam family "U4 spliceosomal RNA". From Rfam's summary of the family: U4 small nuclear RNA (U4 snRNA) is a component of the major U2-dependent spliceosome. The structure of U4 snRNA from yeast and human has been reported. Lineage: Eukaryota; Metazoa; Chordata; Mammalia; Artiodactyla; Cervidae. The record is from Rfam by way of RNAcentral.